UACGUAGGUGGCAAGCGUUGUCCGGAAUUAUUGGGCGUAAAGCGCGCGCAGGCGGCCUUUUAAGUCUGAUGUGAAAGCCCACGGCUCAACCGUGGAAGGUCAUUGGAAACUGAAAGGCUUGAGUACAGAAGAGGAAAGCGGAAUUCCACGUGUAGCGGUGAAAUGCGUAGAGAUGUGGAGGAACACCAGUGGCGAAGGCGGCUUUCUGGUCUGUAACUGACGCUGAGGCGCGAAAGCAUGGGGAGCGAACAGG
This 253-nucleotide ribosomal RNA is filed under the name uncultured bacterium. RNAcentral describes it as "partial 16S ribosomal RNA". It matches the Rfam family "Bacterial small subunit ribosomal RNA", at positions 524 to 776 of the family's 1533-position model. The record is from RNAcentral.